Molecule: long non-coding RNA, 1891 nt
Filed under: Malus domestica (apple)
Lineage: Eukaryota; Viridiplantae; Streptophyta; Magnoliopsida; Rosales; Rosaceae
Description: long non-coding RNA (MDOM_LNC005154)
Source: RNAcentral
AACUAACCCAUUUAGUUUAAACCCAAACUUAAGCCACAACAGCACAUAAACAUGCUCAAUGUCCAAGGGCAAUUUAGACAUUUCACACCAUCGAUAACAAUAAUUCGGGAUGGGCUGUGAUAAUUUUUUUAAACAACUAUAAUAUUGUUUGAUUUCAAUUUGUAAUUACUUUUUUUGUUGUUAAAUUUAAGCUUAAUUAUGUUAGUAAAUCUUUAUACCGUUAUGUCCAAAUACGUAUACAAUAUAGUAUAUGAUACAUAUACAGUACUGUAUAUGUAUAGUUUUUAUAAUGUUACUGAGCAUUUUCAAUAUAUGAAAAGUGCAUUCUUCACAAAGGCAAAAUAGAGAACAUAUAUAUAUAUAUAUAUAUUUUUUUUUUUUUGACAAAGGUAAACAAUUCCAUUACCAACAACCCAAAUACACAACAAAGGUCCAAAGACAAAUAGAGAACAGAUUAUACUUCUUACUUCAUAUGAAAAGAAGAGGUUAGUUUGAUUGUCAUUGCUUUUUUCAUAUGGUUUAACUUCUAAGUUACUUGGCUUACGUCUAAUUUAAUUGUUUGCUUGCCCAAGUUAAAGUCAUUCGUUUUAUUAAUGCUGGUGAACAAAAUCAACUUGAGUUAAUGUUAAAACAAUAUCAUAAUUUCCAUUAGUCUUGAUUGUCUUAACCCUUUCUUUUCCGUUUUUACCAAAAUUUCAUGAAAUUUUUGCACAAGCAUUUUUUAUAGAAAUUAAGUUGAUUUACUAUUUUACUGUCUCUUGGUAGAAUUUUCUUAUUCAUUGUUCAAAAUUAGUAUUGCAAAUUUUAAGUGGUGGAACAGACCCAAAUUAAACCUAUAAUAGCACCAAAUUAAAUUUAUAUUAAAGUGUUCUUUAGCUGCAAAUGUGGGCGUGGCCAUAUUUCAAGAUAUGUUCCCACCCCAUCCCUUUGUGCAAACAAAUCUAUAUUAACACAAAACAAAAUGUCGUUUGUAUCAAAAGAAAAAAGAUGAGAUUUUUUAACAUUUUUCAACUUUUCGAAGACAAAAACCAAGAACAAAAUUGGUCUAGAACAAAGGAUUUUACAUUAGUAUAUCCAUAAUUGAAGGAUUUAAGCCCUUUCCACACAUUCAUUUUUCUACAAAGACUUGGUUCAUAUGGCAGCUAAACAAUAUGUGAAGGUUGAAUAGUUGACUUAGUUGACUUGCAAGCAGGCGAGAAUAUAAUGUAUUAAAUUAGAAUAGAACUACCCUAAUAACCCUAAGUUUUAUACAAGCAUUUAAAGGGUUAAAUUGGACUGCACCCUGCAGAAACUUUAAAGAAAUAAAGUUUAUCUAGAAAGAAAAGGACGUGUAUACCUAACAGAGUCAAAAUGGAUGACUUGAAAUCUAAACAAACAUUAUAUUUGCUUUCUGUAUUGCAUUUACUUUCUUAAAUUGAGAGUUGUUAUAAUCUAAAUAAAGCUGACUUGAAUGACCAUUUUUUUUGAAGGUUGAGUCGGAAAUUCGGAGUAUAUAAUUUCAAAAUGUGGUAAACAUGGAGCUUCUUUUCUAUUGAUGGACCUUCUUUAUUUGAAGAUGGUUAUACUUGCAAUCUUGCAGACUAAAUAAAUAAAUAAAAACAAGUCAAAAUGGAUGACCCAUUAUAACCUACGCCUCCCAUUGGGAACAAAGACCAAGACCUUUCACAAUCUAGUUCUGUCGCACAGUAUGCUGGUAGGCAAAUUUUAGUGUGGUGGUCAUAUAGUAUGUUGUCAAGUCUUAAAUAUCAAGUUAGAUUAAAAGUUAGCAUAUUACAUUUUUCCUCCAAACCAUAUGAUCAGCAGUUUUGGUUUCUGAAGCGAUUUCAAGUCCUAAAUUUUAUUAAAUACAAUAAGAAUUGUUACAAGGUUAAAGACACUAGAAAUUCGAUUU